RNAcentral lists this ribosomal RNA (429 nucleotides) under uncultured bacterium. RNAcentral's name for it is "bacterial SSU rRNA". It matches the Rfam family "Bacterial small subunit ribosomal RNA", at positions 355 to 776 of the family's 1533-position model. The record is from RNAcentral.
UGGGGAAUAUUGCGCAAUGGGCGAAAGCCUGACGCAGCCAUGCCGCGUGUGUGAAGAAGGCCUUCGGGUUGUAAAGCACUUUCAAUUGGGAGGAAAGGUUCACGGUUAAUAACCGUGAGCUGUGACGUUACCUUUAGAAGAAGCACCGGCUAACUCCGUGCCAGCAGCCGCGGUAAUACGGAGGGUGCGAGCGUUAAUCGGAAUUACUGGGCGUAAAGCGCGCGUAGGUGGUCUGUUAAGUCGGAUGUGAAAGCCCCGGGCUCAACCUGGGAACUGCAUCCGAUACUGGCAGACUAGAGUGCGGGAGAGGGAGGUAGAAUUCCACGUGUAGCGGUGAAAUGCGUAGAUAUGUGGAGGAAUACCAGUGGCGAAGGCGGCCUCCUGGCUCGACACUGACACUGAGGUGCGAAAGCGUGGGGAGCAAACAGG